UGGAGGUUUUUAGUCCGUAGGCGGAAAAGAAUCGGGCAUAAUUAAUGCGACGGCGCUUAAUUAUCUUUUGAAGAUUUUCCUACCA
Regulatory RNA element from Drosophila busckii, 85 nucleotides. It matches the Rfam family "R2 RNA element", at positions 90 to 204 of the family's 212-position model. Rfam says of the family: This family represents the 3' UTR region of the R2 retrotransposable element. The record is from Rfam. NCBI's taxonomy places the organism in Eukaryota, Metazoa, Arthropoda, Insecta, Diptera, Drosophilidae.